CCCGGGGGGCAGCGGCGCACCGCAUUCUCCCUAUCCUCCACCAUCAUCACCACCUCCCAAAUCUAAUGCACUAAGAUUAAACGAUCCCUGUGCAUCGACAACGCCAAUCAACGGUUCGUUACCAAUUUCAACCCCAACGAUCUCGCUUUUCCUCGAUGUAAUGGUUCCAUUCAGCUGUCCAUAGAGCAUCGAGUGCUGCUCGUGUUUGCAAACUUCUCACCCGCGAAGAAGUCUCAAAGGGGUUUUCCUUCUCUUUGCACAGAGAAUUGGCAAGGGAGGAGGCUGUGUGGAAAUCACUUGUGCUGCUGAAAAUGGAAAGUCUAGUGAUAAGCCACUGCUGCCCCUACCUAAGAAGGCCAAGAAGAUCCUAGUUGCCGGAAGUCAUGCUGAUAACCUGGGUUAGCGAUGUGGUAGGUGGACAAUCGAGUGGCAAGGUGGUAGUGGAAAUAUCACUGGUGGUACCACAAUCCUGGAUGCCAUCAGAUCCACAGUUGACCCAGCAACCGAUGUCAUCUUCUCUAAGAAGCCUGACGCUGACUUCAUGAAAAGCAAUGACUUCUCUCACGCCAUCGUCGUCGUUGGGGAACCAUUCCUGAACCGGGCCCCAGCACAAUCAAAGACGGUCUGCGGUGGUCAUCAUCUCCGGCAGGGCCGUCGACAUGUAGAAUUUUAGCUCCAGCGAAGACCUCAGCAUUGCUGGCUGAUGCUUGAAGCAACAUUUCUACUAUAUAUUUACAGCAAAGAUUUAGUUUGAAGUAAUGAAGCCAAAUUCACCUCCAAUAUCAGCAACGUUGCAUCGGUUUUACUGUAUAUAU
Musa acuminata subsp. malaccensis (wild Malaysian banana) is the source of this 815-nucleotide non-coding RNA. The record is from RefSeq and is a predicted model, not a curated record. Lineage: Eukaryota; Viridiplantae; Streptophyta; Magnoliopsida; Zingiberales; Musaceae.